Molecule: ribosomal RNA, 422 nt
Filed under: uncultured bacterium
Lineage: Bacteria
Description: bacterial SSU rRNA
Rfam family: Bacterial small subunit ribosomal RNA
Source: RNAcentral
CACGGGUACUUCGACAUCCCUCUGAAACUCCUGAUAACGAUGGAGCCUCCUUCGGGACAGAGGUGACAGGGGGUGCAUGGUUGUCCUCAGCUCGUGUCGUGAGAUGUUGGGUUAAGUCCCGCAACGAGCGCAACCCUUGCUGUUAGUUGCCAUCAUUAAGUUGGGCACUCUAACGGGACUGCCGGGGAUAACUCGGAGGAAGGUGGGGAUGACGUCAAAUCAUCAUGCCCCUUAUGUUCUGGGCUACACACGUGCUACAAUGGUCGGUACAAAGAGCAGCAAGACCGUGAGGUGGAGCAAAUCUCAAAAACCGAUCCCAGUUCGGAUUGUAGGCUGCAACUCGCCUACAUGAAGUUGGAGUUGCUAGUAAUCGCGGAUCAGAAUGCCGCGGUGAAUGCGUUCCCGGGUCUUGUACACACCGA